CGCCCCCCGUGGGGCUCGAACCCACGACCGCGCGGUUAAAAGCCGCGCGCUCUACCGACUGAGCUAGGAAAUCGA
This 75-nucleotide transfer RNA is filed under the name Entamoeba moshkovskii. RNAcentral's name for it is "tRNA-Lys". Lineage: Eukaryota; Evosea; Mastigamoebida; Endamoebidae. The record is from RNAcentral.